This 465-nucleotide ribosomal RNA is filed under the name Vreelandella stevensii. RNAcentral describes it as "partial 16S ribosomal RNA". It matches the Rfam family "Bacterial small subunit ribosomal RNA", at positions 338 to 795 of the family's 1533-position model. The record is from RNAcentral. Lineage: Bacteria; Pseudomonadati; Pseudomonadota; Gammaproteobacteria; Oceanospirillales; Halomonadaceae.
CCUACGGGGGGCUGCAGUGGGGAAUAUUGGACAAUGGGCGAAAGCCUGAUCCAGCCAUGCCGCGUGUGUGAAGAAGGCCUUCGGGGUGUAAAGCACUUUCAGUGGGGAAGAAAGCCUUGGGGCUAAUACCCUCGAGGAAGGACAUCACCCACAGAAGAAGCACCGGCUAACUCCGUGCCAGCAGCCGCGGUAAUACGGAGGGUGCGAGCGUUAAUCGGAAUUACUGGGCGUAAAGCGCGCGUAGGCGGUCUGAUAAGCCGGUUGUGAAAGCCCCGGGCUCAACCUGGGAACGGCAUCCGGAACUGUCAGGCUAGAGUGCAGGAGAGGAAGGUAGAAUUCCCGGUGUAGCGGUGAAAUGCGUAGAGAUCGGGAGGAAUACCAGUGGCGAAGGCGGCCUUCUGGACUGACACUGACGCUGAGGUGCGAAAGCGUGGGUAGCAAACAGGAUUAGAUACCCCUGUAGUC